This 253-nucleotide ribosomal RNA is filed under the name uncultured bacterium. RNAcentral's name for it is "partial 16S ribosomal RNA". It matches the Rfam family "Bacterial small subunit ribosomal RNA", at positions 524 to 776 of the family's 1533-position model. The record is from RNAcentral.
UACGUAGGGUGCGAGCGUUAAUCGGAAUUACUGGGCGUAAAGCGUGCGCAGGCGGUUUUGUAAGCCAGAUGUGAAAUCCCCGGGCUUAACCUGGGAAUGGCAUUUGGGACUGCAAGGCUCGAGUGCGGCAGAGGAGACUGGAAUUCCUGGUGUAGCAGUGAAAUGCGUAGAUAUCGGAAGGAACAUCAGUGGCGAAAGCGACUUCCUGGACCAGUACCGACGUUCAGGCACGAAAGCGUGGGGAGCAAACAGG